GAUGAACGCUGGCGGCGUGCCUAAUACAUGCAAGUCGAGCGAACAGACGAGGAGCUUGCUCCUCUGACGUUAGCGGCGGACGGGUGAGUAACACGUGGAUAACCUACCUAUAAGACUGGGAUAACUUCGGGAAACCGGAGCUAAUACCGGAUAAUAUAUUGAACCGCAUGGUUCAAUAGUGAAAGACGGUUUUGCUGUCACUUAUAGAUGGAUCCGCGCCGCAUUAGCUAGGUGGUAAGGUAACGGCUUACCAAGGCAACGAUGCGUAGCCGACCUGAGAGGGUGAUCGGCCACACUGGAACUGAGACACCGUCCAGACUCCUAAGGGAGGCAGCAGUAGGGAAUCUUCCGCCAUGGGGGAAAGCCUGACGGAGCCACGCCGCGUGAGUGAUGAAGGUCUUCGGAUCGUAAAACUCUGUUAUUAGGGAAGAACAAAUGUGUAAGUAACUAUGCACGUCUUGACGGUAACUAAUCAGAAAGCCACGGCUAACUACGUG
RNAcentral lists this ribosomal RNA (497 nucleotides) under uncultured bacterium. Its description in RNAcentral is "partial 16S ribosomal RNA". It matches the Rfam family "Bacterial small subunit ribosomal RNA", at positions 28 to 507 of the family's 1533-position model. The record is from RNAcentral.